AGGCAGCAGUGGGGAAUUUUGGACAAUGGGCGAAAGCCUGAUCCAGCCAUGCCGCGUGCAGGAUGAAGGCCUUCGGGUUGUAAACUGCUUUUGUACGGAACGAAAAGACUCCUUCUAAUAAAGGGGGUUCAUGACGGUAUUGUAAGAAUAAGCACCGGCUAACUACGUGCCAGCAGC
This 177-nucleotide ribosomal RNA is filed under the name uncultured bacterium. Its description in RNAcentral is "partial 16S ribosomal RNA". It matches the Rfam family "Bacterial small subunit ribosomal RNA", at positions 346 to 515 of the family's 1533-position model. The record is from RNAcentral.